AGCAGUAGCCACGGUAAUACGUAGGUGGCAAGCGUUGUCCGGAAUUAUUGGGCGUAAAGCGCGCGCAGGCGGAUCAGUUAGUCUGUCUUAAAAGUUCGGGGCUUAACCCCGUGAUGGGAUGGAAACUGCUGAUCUAGAGUAUCGGAGAGGAAAGUGGAAUUCCUAGUGUAGCGGUGAAAUGCGUAGAUAUUCGCAAGAACACCAGUGGCGAAGGCGGCUAACUGGUCCGGUUCUGACGCUGAGGCACGAAAGCGUGGGGAGCAAACAGGAUUAGAUACCCGAGUAGUCCCUGUCUCUUAUACA
RNAcentral lists this ribosomal RNA (303 nucleotides) under uncultured bacterium. Its description in RNAcentral is "partial 16S ribosomal RNA". It matches the Rfam family "Bacterial small subunit ribosomal RNA", at positions 507 to 808 of the family's 1533-position model. The record is from RNAcentral.